RNAcentral lists this transfer-messenger RNA (372 nucleotides) under Patescibacteria group. Its description in RNAcentral is "CG2-30-37-29 sp001873215 Standard tmRNA". It matches the Rfam family "transfer-messenger RNA". Rfam says of the family: Bacterial tmRNA, also known as 10Sa RNA or SsrA, is named for its dual tRNA and mRNA-like properties. The record is from RNAcentral. RNAcentral also lists the same sequence under 2 other names.
GGGGAUGCAAUGCAUCGACAGAAUUGCUCUUUAAAAACUGCAAGCCGAUAAUGAUACUAAUCGUAAAAGCGUAUCAAAAACAAAUGCUAAGAAUUUUCUUAGCGGUCAAAGUUUUGCUUACGCACAACCUGCGUACGCUUACAACUAAGACCUGUCCGUAUCAUUCUUUUCUCAAACGGUUAGAUACGGGCAUAAACACAGUUUGAGAUAGGGUUUAGAGACUGAUUGAUUCUAGGCUAGAAAAUUAAAAUCUUGGAAUUGCCUUUCCUGUUAAUUGGAUCAGAGCAAGACGACAAUUAAAAAUUAACUAAGCUUGUAGAUGUUUUUGAUUAACAGUCCUGGACGUGGGAGCAAUACCCACCAUCUCCACAA